UGGGGAAUUUUGGACAAUGGGCGAAAGCCUGAUCCAGCAAUGCCGCGUGUGUGAAGAAGGCCUUCGGGUUGUAAAGCACUUUUGUCCGGAAAGAAAUCCUUGGCUCUAAUACAGUCGGGGGAUGACGGUACCGGAAGAAUAAGCACCGGCUAACUACGUGCCAGCAGCCGCGGUAAUACGUAGGGUGCAAGCGUUAAUCGGAAUUACUGGGCGUAAAGCGUGCGCAGGCGGUUUGCUAAGACCGAUGUGAAAUCCCCGGGCUCAACCUGGGAACUGGCAUUGGUGACUGGCAGGCUAGAGUAUGGCAGAGGGGGGUAGAAUUCCACGUGUAGCAGUGAAAUGCGUAGAGAUGUGGAGGAAUACCGAUGGCGAAGGCAGCCCCCUGGCCAAGUACUGACGCUCAUGCACGAAAAGCGUGGGGAGCAAACAGGAUUAGAUACCCUGGUAGUCCACGCCCUAAACGAUGUCAACUAGUUGUUGGGGAUUCAUUUCCUUAGUAACGUAGCUAACGCGUGAAGUUGACCGCCUGGGGAGUACGGUCGCAAGAUUAAAACUUAAAUAAUUGACGGGGUC
This 573-nucleotide ribosomal RNA is filed under the name uncultured bacterium. RNAcentral describes it as "partial 16S ribosomal RNA". It matches the Rfam family "Bacterial small subunit ribosomal RNA", at positions 355 to 920 of the family's 1533-position model. The record is from RNAcentral.